RNAcentral lists this ribosomal RNA (395 nucleotides) under uncultured bacterium. RNAcentral's name for it is "bacterial SSU rRNA". It matches the Rfam family "Bacterial small subunit ribosomal RNA", at positions 505 to 898 of the family's 1533-position model. The record is from RNAcentral.
GUGUCAGCAGCCGCGGUAAGACAGAGGGUGCAAACGUUGCUCGGAAUCACUGGGCGUAAAGGGCGUGUAGGCGGGAAGGAAAGUCAGAUGUGAAAUCCCUGGGCUCAACCCAGGAACUGCAUUUGAAACUCCCUUUCUUGAGUGUCGGAGAGGAAAGUGGAAUUCCUGGUGUAGAGGUGAAAUUCGUAGAUAUCAGGAGGAACACCGGUGGCGAAGGCGGCUUUCUGGACGACAACUGACGCUGAGACGCGAAAGCGUGGGGAGCAAACAGGAUUAGAUACCCUGGUAGUCCACGCUGUAAACGAUGAACACUAGGUGUCGUGGGUAUUGACCCCCGCGGUGCCGCAGCUAACGCAUUAAGUGUUCCGCCUGGGAAGUACGGUCGCAAGACUAAA